RNAcentral lists this long non-coding RNA (518 nucleotides) under Gallus gallus (chicken). RNAcentral's name for it is "lncRNA (ENSGALG00010011661.1)". The record is from RNAcentral. Lineage: Eukaryota; Metazoa; Chordata; Aves; Galliformes; Phasianidae.
ACUAAAAAGUGCUGGGAAGACCUCUGUGUACAUUUCAGCGCCCUGGUUAUUCUGCCAAAGAAAUCUAGGGCAAAUUUAUUUUAGUUAAACAUUUAUUUGGUGGCCACUGUUUCUACAAUGAUUGUUUUGCUGUCCUCACCAUUAACCAUUUCUUUCUCUGAAUGCAAGUAAAUGUCAUAAUAUUCAUCUUCAAAAUGUAAGGAAAUACUGUUUGUUAAAUUACAUAAAUUACUAGAUUUCACAGUUCAAAACAUUGGGUUUUGCAGCUCAGUAUAAUUUAAGCCAUGAACUAUUCCCACUGCUCUCUAGUGAAUUAUGAAACAUAUCAAUCCCCAUUACUUCGAAGAAAAGAAAUAAUAAUAUGGAAGAAUUGAUAGAACAGAGUAGCAGUCUCACUGCAGUAAAUAUCUCAUGCCUUGAUCCUACACAGAAAUUCACAGAUGAAAAAUUCAAUGAGAUUCUGACAGGCACAUGCAUCCAUUUGUACAAGGAUGAUGGUACAAUCAGAUCCUUAAAUG